UACGAAGGGUGCAAGCGUUAAUCGGAAUUACUGGGCGUAAAGGGUGCGUAGGCGGUUAUUUAAGUCUGCCGUGAAAUCCCCGGGCUCAACCUGGGAAUGGCGGUGGAUACUGGAUAGCUAGAGUGUGUCAGAGGAUGGUGGAAUUCCCGGUGUAGCGGUGAAAUGCGUAGAGAUCGGGAGGAACAUCAGUGGCGAAGGCGGCCAUCUGGGACAACACUGACGCUGAAGCACGAAAGCGUGGGGAGCAAAUAGG
RNAcentral lists this ribosomal RNA (253 nucleotides) under uncultured bacterium. RNAcentral describes it as "partial 16S ribosomal RNA". It matches the Rfam family "Bacterial small subunit ribosomal RNA", at positions 524 to 776 of the family's 1533-position model. The record is from RNAcentral.